GCUUAGCAACCUGCUCGGGACCCCUCUCUGUGACUGUGAGCUGUUCUGUUCUUUUGCCUAUUAAACUCCUGCUCCAAACUCACUCGAUGUGUGUGUGCAUGUCCUUGACCUCAAUAUCUGGUCGUGUGACCAAGAACCUCAGUAUUCACCCCAGACAACAAGGCUGCUUCAUUUUGAGGGCUCGUCUGGGAUUUGAAGGUGACUUCAUCAGAAUGCUUUGCUGCUAAAGGGAUCUGCAGUCCAGCUGAAAACCUGCCCUUGCCUGAGCCCAGCCACUUUCUCCCAGAGAAAACUGGAGAACCUAAACAUGAUUGUGAACAGAAUGGCUUCCGGUGGCCUGGGACUCCUUGGGGAAACAGAAAAUGCACCACAAAUCCCAUUUUAGGAAAAAUCUGUUUUCCUCGGAGCCCCUGGAAUUAAAGAAACCAUCAAGCUUCAGAUGGUGCUGAAAAUGGAGCCGAAAAUGAAACUGCCCUCCUACGAGGGACCCUUAAAUCAACCCCAGGAGGAGCCCUAGCUGCUGUUCCCCACACAACGCCACUCUCCAGCAGGAAGUAGCCAGAAGAAAUCGUCACCCAGUUUCCCCUAGCAGCAGUUAUGGAUUUCAUUCCUGAGGGGGGAAAUAUGUUAUAGGAGGCAGAAAGAAAUGAUUUAGGUAGACAUUUAGGGUAAAGUGAGUCCCCAGCAGAAAACUUUCCUUUUAACAAAAAGCAGCUCAAAAAUAGCUCCCUUUCUAACCUCAUGCAGUUCAAAAAAAAAGCACUUCUCUUCUAACAACAAGCAGCCUGAAAGUUCAGGCUGUAAAACACAGAGAAGAUGGCUUGAGCACAGAAAGGGAGGGGGAAGUCUCCUGGGUAAUCACCAAACUUCACAUUUACACAGUGGGCCCCAGUAAAACAGUGGGUCUUAAUAAGCAUAUUCCUUCCCUUUAGGCGCAGUAAGAUUGAGGAGCUAAAAACAGACUUGGGUGGAUGUCUGCAGCUGCAAGAAGAUGUGUGGGAACAGACACAGAAACUCUCCCUCCCAGAUAAGCAAGACAAAGAAACACAGAAUAAGAGUCCAUCUAUGUGGUCAGAGAAUGGGAUAAGAGCUGAUUUAAAAAAACUCUGCUCUAUAUAGAAGGCACACCUGGUCCCAACCAAACCACUGGACCCUAGGAGGAUAAGACCUCCUCUGCUCAUGAGCCCCCUCCUCAGUAGCCCAUUUAUAAAAACCCUGACAAUUUUACUACCACUUGGCAACCCGCUCGGGACCCCUCUCUGUGAUGGAGAGCUGUUCUUUUCUUUUGCCUAUUAAACUCCUGCUCCAAACUCA
RNAcentral lists this long non-coding RNA (1314 nucleotides) under Homo sapiens (human). RNAcentral's name for it is "SMARCA4 interacting SWI/SNF chromatin remodeling complex scaffold lncRNA". The record is from RNAcentral. Lineage: Eukaryota; Metazoa; Chordata; Mammalia; Primates; Hominidae.